GCAAACUUGGUCAUUUAGAGGAAGUAAAAGUCGUAACAAGGUUUCCGUAGGUGAACCUGCGGAAGGAUCAUUAACAAGAUCGAACCAAAAAAAUAUGGACGAUCAAAUCCAUAUCCACCUUGUGUGCACUUAUUGACCGUUCGCUUUGGCAGGAGUUGUCUUGGAUCCUGGCCCCCUGAGAUUUUUUUUGGGGGGAGGGAUCGAAGCGCGAGGGUGGAGGAAAAAAACCCCCUCCUACACCUCGGCCUGCCAGAGUUUUUUCAAUAUCCACACUUUUUUUAAACCUUUUUGGACUGAACCCUCGUCUCGAUUCUUUGUAAUCGGUCGAAUCUAAUACAACUUUCAACAACGGAUCUCUUGGCUCUCGCAUCGAUGAAGAACGCAGC
This 386-nucleotide unclassified non-coding RNA is filed under the name uncultured fungus. RNAcentral's name for it is "partial contains small subunit ribosomal RNA, internal transcribed spacer 1, and 5.8S ribosomal RNA". The stretch from base 1 to 73 matches the Rfam family "Eukaryotic small subunit ribosomal RNA", at positions 1759 to 1831 of the family's 1831-position model. The record is from RNAcentral. Lineage: Eukaryota; Fungi.